Molecule: ribosomal RNA, 1131 nt
Filed under: Benedictus sp. n. AFD-2021a
Lineage: Eukaryota; Metazoa; Arthropoda; Insecta; Coleoptera; Chrysomelidae
Description: SSU rRNA
Rfam family: Eukaryotic small subunit ribosomal RNA
Source: RNAcentral
UGUCUCAGUACAAGCCAAAUUAAGGUGAAACCGCGAAAGGCUCAUUAAAUCAGUUAUGGUUCCUUAGAUCGUACCCACAUUUACUUGGAUAACUGUGGUAAUUCUAGAGCUAAUACAUGCAAACAGAGCUCCGACCGGAGACGGAAGGAGCGCUUUUAUUAGAUCAAAACCAAUCGGUGGCGGACGUUCGCGCGUUCGUCAUCGUAAUACUUGGUGACUCUGAAUAACUUUACGCUGAUCGCACGGUCUCGCACCGGCGACGCAUCUUUCAAAUGUCUGCCUUAUCAACUGUCGAUGGUAGGUUCUGCGCCUACCAUGGUUGUAACGGGUAACGGGGAAUCAGGGUUCGAUUCCGGAGAGGGAGCCUGAGAAACGGCUACCACAUCCAAGGAAGGCAGCAGGCGCGCAAAUUACCCACUCCCGGCACGGGGAGGUAGUGACGAAAAAUAACGAUACGGGACUCAUCCGAGGCCCCGUAAUCGGAAUGAGUACACUCUAAACCCUUUAACGAGGAUCAAUUGGAGGGCAAGUCUGGUGCCAGCAGCCGCGGUAAUUCCAGCUCCAAUAGCGUAUAUUAAAGUUGUUGCGGUUAAAAAGCUCGUAGUCGAAUCUGUGUCCCGCGCCGCCGGUUCAUCGUACGCGGUGUCAACUGGCGUGUCGCGGGACGUCCUGCCGGUGGGCUUAGCUCGCAAGGGCGGCCCAACUCAAUCCCGCCGCGGUGCUCUUCACUGAGUGUCGAGGUGGGCCGGCACGUUUACUUUGAACAAAUUAGAGUGCUUAAAGCAGGCUAAAACUUCGCCUGAAUACUGUGUGCAUGGAAUAAUGGAAUAGGACCUCGGUUCUAUUUUGUUGGUUUUCGGAACCCCGAGGUAAUGAUUAAUAGGAACGGAUGGGGGCAUUCGUAUUGCGACGUUAGAGGUGAAAUUCUUGGAUCGUCGCAAGACGGACAGAAGCGAAAGCAUUUGCCAAAAACGCUUUCAUUGAUCAAGAACGAAAGUUAGAGGUUCGAAGGCGAUCAGAUACCGCCCUAGUUCUAACCAUAAACGAUGCCAGCUAGCGAUCCGCCGACGUUCCUCCGAUGACUCGGCGGGGCAGCUUCCGGGAAAACCAAAGCUUUUGGUUCCGGGGGAA